GGAAACUGGGUCUAAUACCGGAUACGACGGUCCACCGCAUGGUGGUCCGUGGAAAGCUUGAUGCGGUUUUGGAUGGACUCGCGGCCUAUCAGCUAGUUGGUUGGGGUAAUGGCCCACCAAGGCGACGACGGGUAGCCGGCCUGAGAGGGUGACCGGCCACACUGGGACUGAGACACGGCCCAGACUCCUACGGGAGGCAGCAGUGGGGAAUAUUGCACAAUGGGCGAAAGCCUGAUGCAGCGACGCCGCGUGAGGGACGAAGGCCUUCGGGUUGUAAACCUCUUUCAGCAGGGAAGAAGCGAAAGUGACGGUACCUGCAGAAGAAGCGCCGGCUAACUACGUGCCAGCAGCCGCGGUAAUACGUAGGGCGCAAGCGUUAUCCGGAAUUAUUGGGCGUAAAGAGCUCGUAGGCGGUUUGUCGCGUCUGCUGUGAAAGCCCGGGGCUCAACCCCGGGUCUGCAGUGGGUACGGGCAGACUAGAG
This 482-nucleotide ribosomal RNA is filed under the name Arthrobacter sp. s7y2. RNAcentral describes it as "bacterial SSU rRNA". It matches the Rfam family "Bacterial small subunit ribosomal RNA", at positions 152 to 646 of the family's 1533-position model. Lineage: Bacteria; Bacillati; Actinomycetota; Actinomycetes; Micrococcales; Micrococcaceae. The record is from RNAcentral.